RNAcentral lists this microRNA precursor (205 nucleotides) under Oryza glumipatula. RNAcentral's name for it is "MIR812 microRNA precursor family". It matches the Rfam family "MIR812 microRNA precursor family". The record is from Rfam by way of RNAcentral. Lineage: Eukaryota; Viridiplantae; Streptophyta; Magnoliopsida; Poales; Poaceae.
AAAAAGACAAACCCUGGUUUCCGUGCCCAACGUUUGACCGUCCGUCUUAUUUGAAAAAAAUAUGAAAAAAUUAAAAAGACAAGUCACGCAUAAAAUAUUAAUCAUGUUUUAUCAUCUAACAACAAUGAAAAUACGAAUUAUAAAAAAAUUUCAUAUAAGAUGAACAGUUAAAGUUAGACACGGAAACUCAGGGUUUGCAUUUUUU